Long non-coding RNA from Hylaeus volcanicus, 508 nucleotides. RefSeq lists it as uncharacterized. The transcript is spliced from 4 exons. NCBI's taxonomy places the organism in Eukaryota, Metazoa, Arthropoda, Insecta, Hymenoptera, Colletidae. The record is from RefSeq and is a predicted model, not a curated record.
CGAGAGUCGAGUGACGCGCAUCAGUACGCGAUGAAAGUGAGACGAUGCAUCUUUUCCAUUGGGUUGUAACAUAAGAAAUUUCUGAUGAAUUGCGAGGCAAGCCGUACCUUGAAAAUGUGGGGCUAAACACAAACGAAGGUUAGUGUCGCGUCGGUAAUCUCAGAGUGUUUCUAAGUUACAAUGAGCGACGCAGGAGUGUACCGGGGCAGGAAAGCCGAUGCUAAGCGGAUCAACCACGCCGAACUGUCUUUAACAGAUGCAGCAAAAGAGGCACGUUCUCGUAUAAAAUUUUCAAAGACAGAGAACGAAGAAGAAUAUUUGAACUUGGAAAGGCAGCUUUAUGGUCCUGGGAUAGCAGAUUAACGAUGUGAAUUUGUACCAGCUAUACUACGUGCCGUAGGGUACCUCAAAUUCACUAAACCUCGCGAGAAUGACUCGGAUUUCGCCAUUUUUUAGUAUUUGUCGAUUAUAACUUUUUGUUUAAUACUUAAAUAUAUGCUUUACCACU